UCCCGACAAAUGUUACAGUGAACUUAACAUACCUCACACAAUUCUCAACCUCAACGCCACGUACUCCAGCUGACCCUUUGACCACCUCAACUAUAUAUAACACUGUAUACCCAUAUAUGGACCCCAUAGAUCGAAUAUAUGGUCAAGGAGCGAGGAAGGGAGAUGCUGGCAGCAAGACAUAUGGAUUUCACCCGUUCCUUAUGUUUGGUAAGCUGCC
RNAcentral lists this long non-coding RNA (217 nucleotides) under Elaeis guineensis (African oil palm). Its description in RNAcentral is "long non-coding RNA (EGUI_LNC004695)". Lineage: Eukaryota; Viridiplantae; Streptophyta; Magnoliopsida; Arecales; Arecaceae. The record is from RNAcentral.